This 1217-nucleotide ribosomal RNA is filed under the name uncultured Rhizaria. RNAcentral describes it as "SSU rRNA". It matches the Rfam family "Eukaryotic small subunit ribosomal RNA", at positions 577 to 1804 of the family's 1831-position model. The record is from RNAcentral.
CGGUAAUUCCAGCUCCAAUAGCGUAUAUUAAAGUUGUUGCAGUUAAAAAGCUCGUAGUUGGAUUUCUGCGGGGACGGAGCGGCCGGUCGCAACUUGCGACUCGAGCUAGCGCUUUCCCCGCAUCCUGCCGCGAACCGUGCUACCAUUAGCUUGGUGGCGCUGGGGAUCGGCUCGAUUACUUUGAGAAAAAUAGAGUGUUCGAAGCAGGCCACACGCCUUGAAUAAGUUAGCAUGGAAUAAUGACUAAGGACUUCGGUUCUAUUUUGUUGGUGUUCGGGACUGAAGUAAUGAUUGAUAGGGACAGUUGGGGCGGUCUGUAUUCCAAAGCGAGAGGUGAAAUUCUUAGACCUUCGGAAGACAAACAGCUGCGAAAGCGUUCCGCAAGGAUGUUCCCUUUGAUCAAGAACGAAAGUUGGGGGAUCGAAGACGAUCAGAUACCGUCGUAGUCUCAACUAUAAACUAUACCAGCUAGGGAUCGGUCAACGUUUAAUCAUUCGACUUGAUCGGCACCUUAUGAGAAAUCAAAGCAUCUGGGUUCCGGGGGGAGUAUGGUCGCAAGGCUGAAACUUAAAGGAAUUGACGGAAGGGCACCACCAGCCGUGGAGCCUGUGGCUUAAUCUGACUCAACACGGGGAAACUUACCAGGUCCAGACAUAGUAAGGAUUGACAGAUUGAUAGCUCUUUCUUGAUUCUGUGGGUGGUGGUGCAUGGCCGUUCUUAGUUGGUGGAGUGAUUUGUCUGGUUAAUUCCGUUAACGAACGAGACCCCAGCCUGCUAAAUAGCGCGGUUGAGCUUUGCUCGGUGCGAGCUUCUUAGAGGGACUAUGAUGCGCGAUAGCACAUGGAAGUUUGGGGCAAUAACAGGUCUGUGAUGCCCUUAGAUGUUCUGGGCCGCACACGGGCUACACUGGCGCCUGCAACGAGCAUAUCAGCUGGCCCGAGAGGGUCUUGGCUAAUCUUUUGAACCGGCGCCGUGCUUGGGAUUGACCUUUGCAAUUGUUGGUCAUGCAACGAGGAAUGCCUUGUAAACGCGAGUCAUCAGCUCGCAUUGAAUACGUCCCUGCCCUUUGUACACACCGCCCGUCGCUCCUACCGAUGAAUGUUCCGAUGAAAUUUUCGGAGAGCGCCAGAGAACGGGGCUCCGCCUUGCAGAUCUGGAGGCUCAAAGUCACUUAAAUCUGAACAUCUCGAGGAAGGAGAAGUCGUAACAAGGUAACC